RNAcentral lists this ribosomal RNA (468 nucleotides) under uncultured bacterium. Its description in RNAcentral is "partial 16S ribosomal RNA". It matches the Rfam family "Bacterial small subunit ribosomal RNA", at positions 28 to 507 of the family's 1533-position model. The record is from RNAcentral.
GACGAACGCUGGCGGCGUGCUUAACACAUGCAAGUCGAACGGAAAGGCCCUGCUUUUGUGGGGUGCUCGAGUGGCGAACGGGUGAGUAACACGUGAGUAACCUGCCCUUGACUUUGGGAUAACUUCAGGAAACUGGGGCUAAUACCGGAUAGGAGCUCCUGCUGCAGGGUGGGGGUUGGAAAGUUUCGGCGGUUGGGGAUGGACUCGCGGCUUAUCAGCUUGUUGGUGGGGUAGUGGCUUACCAAGGCUUUGACGGGUAGCCGGCCUGAGAGGGUGACCGGCCACAUUGGGACUGCGGUACGGCGCAGACUCCUACGGGAGGCAGCAGUGGGGAAUAUUGCACAAUGGGCGGGAGCCUGAUGCAGCAACGCCGCGUGCGGGAUGACGGCCUUCGGGUUGUAAACCGCUUUCGCCUGUGACGAAGCGUGAGUGACGGUAAUGGGUAAAGAAGCACCGGCUAACUACGUG